This 549-nucleotide long non-coding RNA is filed under the name Homo sapiens (human). RNAcentral describes it as "non-protein coding lnc-ZFAT-5:3". Lineage: Eukaryota; Metazoa; Chordata; Mammalia; Primates; Hominidae. The record is from RNAcentral.
CCAAGAAUAACCAUAUUCAAGCGUUUCAAUUCUUUCCAUUAUGAACACAACACCUUAGGGCAGGUUUCUAAGGGCCCUGACAACUUGAAUUACUGUCUUUCCCUACUUGCCUGCUUGCGACUGAGCUUACAAGGAAAUGACUUUAAACAAUGUCACACCUCUUUACCCACAGACACAGUUUACAGGACCUCAUUCGCACUCCAAUGACAAUGAAAGGAAGGGGGUGUUGGGCAGAGAAGCAAAGAGCUCCGGUUCUCACCAUCACAUGGUAGCGGGUGUAAGUUUGUUCCCAACAUACCAGACAGAGAGCAACUCUCACCAGAGAAGAUCCCAAUGUGUUUUAUGCUAGAUCUGACUUUAAUUAAGUGUAGACAAUGCUCCCAUCAGUGCUGGAACUGGCCCCGGUAACUUGCUUUAGCUGAUGGAAUGUUACCAAACACAACAUGAUCAAAGGCUUGAGAGAUGAUUUCCCUCCUGUGCUUCCGCAAUUACCAUGAAAAGAACAUGGCCUGGUGGUCCCUGAUCCCCAAAGAAUGACGGACACCUGGA